This 458-nucleotide ribosomal RNA is filed under the name uncultured bacterium. RNAcentral describes it as "partial 16S ribosomal RNA". It matches the Rfam family "Bacterial small subunit ribosomal RNA", at positions 338 to 795 of the family's 1533-position model. The record is from RNAcentral.
CCUACGUGUGGCAGCAGUGGGGAAUAUUGCACAAUGGGGGAAACCCUGAUGCAGCGACGCCGCGUGAGUGAAGAAGUAUUUCGGUACGUAAAGCUCUAUCAGCAGGGAAGAAAAACCGGCCUUAGGGCCGCCAGACGGUACCUGACUAAGAAGCCCCGGCUAACUACGUGCCAGCAGCCGCGGUAAUACGUAGGGGGCAAGCGUUUUCCGGAUUUACUGGGUGUAAAGGGGGCGUAGACGGCAGCGCAAGUCUGGAGUGAAAUGACGGGGCCCAACCCCGGAACUGCUUUGGAAACUGUGCAGCUGGAGUGCAGGAGAGGUAAGCGGAAUUGCGAGUGUAGCGGGGAAAUGCGUAGAUAUUAGGAGGAACACCAGUGGCGAAGGCGGCUUACUGGACUGUAACUGACGUUGAGGCGCGAAAGCGUGGGGAGCAAACAGGAUGAGAUACCCGGGUAGUC